GGCGAACGCUGGCGGCGUGCUUAACACAUGCAAGUCGAACGGAAAGGCCCUGCUUUUGUGGGGUGCUCGAGUGGCGAACGGGUGAGUAACACGUGAGUAACCUGCCCUUGACUUUGGGAUAACUUCAGGAAACUGGGGCUAAUACCGGAUAGGAGCUCCUGCUGCAUGGUGGGGGUUGGAAAGUUUCGGCGGUUGGGGAUGGACUCGCGGCUUAUCAGCUUGUUGGUGGGGUAGUGGCUUACCAAGGCUUUGACGGGUAGCCGGCCUGAGAGGGUGACCGGCCACAUUGGGACUGAGAUACGGCCCAGACUCCUACGGGAGGCAGCAGUGAGGAAUAUUGCACAAUGGGCGGAAGCCUGAUGCAGCAACGCCGCGUGCGGGAUGACGGCCUUCGGGUUGUAAACCGCUUUCGCCUGUGACGAAGCGUGAGUGACGGUAAUGGGUAAAGAAGCACCGGCUAACUACGUG
RNAcentral lists this ribosomal RNA (468 nucleotides) under uncultured bacterium. RNAcentral describes it as "partial 16S ribosomal RNA". It matches the Rfam family "Bacterial small subunit ribosomal RNA", at positions 28 to 507 of the family's 1533-position model. The record is from RNAcentral.